AGAGUUUGAUCCUGGCUCAGAACGUACGCUGGCGGCACGCCUUAUACAUGCAAGUCGAACGAAGUAGCAAUACUUAGUGGCGGACGGGUGAGUAUGAUGUGGGUAUCUGCCCAUUGGUUUGGAAUAACACGGGGAAACUUGUGCUAAUACUGAAUAAGCCUUCACAGGGAAAGCUUUAUGCGCCGAUGGAUGAGCUCGCACUUGAUUAGCUUGUUGGUGAGGUAAAAGCUCACCAAGGCAACGAUCAAUAGCUGAUCUGAGAGGAUGAUCAGCCACAUUGGGACUGAGACACGGCCCAAACUCCUACGGGAGGCAGCAGUAGGGAAUAUUGCACAAUGGAGGAAACUCUGAUGCAGCGAUGCCGCGUGAGUGAAGAAGGCCUUUGGGUUGUAAAGCUCUUUCGUCGGGGAAGAAAAUGACUGUACCCGAAUAAGAAGGUCCGGCUAACUCCGUGCCAGCAGCCGCGGUAAUACGGAGGGUGCAAGCGUUAAUCGGAAUUACUGGGCGUAAAGCGUGCGUAGGCGGUUUAUUAAGUCAGAUGUGAAAGCCCCGGGCUUAACCUGGGAACUGCAUUUGAAACUGGUCAACUAGAGUAUGGUAGAGGAAAGUGGAAUUUCUGGUGUAGCGGUGAAAUGCGUAGAUAUCAGAAGGAACAUCAAUGGCGAAGGCAGCUUUCUGGACCAAUACUGACGCUGAGGUACGAAAGCGUGGGUAGCAAACAGGAUUAGAUACCCUGGUAGUCCACGCCGUAAACGAUGAUAACUAGCCGUUGGGGGGAUUUACCCCUUAGUGGCGAAGCUAACGCGUUAAGUUAUCCGCCUGGGGAGUACGGCCGCAAGGCUAAAACUCAAAGGAAUUGACGGGGACCCGCACAAGCGGUGGAGCAUGUGGUUUAAUUCGAUGCAACGCGAAGAACCUUACCUGGUCUUGACAUCCUGCGAACUUUCUAGAAAUAGAUUGGUGCCUUCGGGAACGCAGUGACAGGUGCUGCAUGGCUGUCGUCAGCUCGUGUCGUGAGAUGUUGGGUUAAGUCCCGUAACGAGCGCAACCCCUAUCCUUAUUUGCCAGCACAUUAUGGUGGGAACUAUAAGGAGACUGCCGGUGAUAAACCGGAGGAAGGCGGGGACGACGUCAAGUCAUCAUGGCCCUUACGACCAGGGCUACACACGUGCUACAAUGGGAAGGACAAAGAGCCGCGAAGCCGCGAGGUGUAGCUAAUCUCACAAAUCUUUUCGUAGUCCGGAUUGGAGUCUGCAACUCGACUCCAUGAAGUCGGAAUCGCUAGUAAUCGUAGAUCAGAAUGCUACGGUGAAUACGUUCCCGGGUCUUGUACACACCGCCCGUCAUACCAUGGGAGUGGGUUGCACCAGAAGUGGCUAGUCUAACUUUGUGAGGACGGUCACCACGGUGUGAUUCAUGACUGGGGUAAAGUCGUAACAAGGUAACC
RNAcentral lists this ribosomal RNA (1447 nucleotides) under uncultured bacterium. Its description in RNAcentral is "partial 16S ribosomal RNA". It matches the Rfam family "Bacterial small subunit ribosomal RNA". The record is from RNAcentral.